RNAcentral lists this ribosomal RNA (876 nucleotides) under Bjerkandera adusta. RNAcentral's name for it is "partial large subunit ribosomal RNA". It matches the Rfam family "Eukaryotic large subunit ribosomal RNA", at positions 75 to 937 of the family's 3401-position model. Lineage: Eukaryota; Fungi; Basidiomycota; Agaricomycetes; Polyporales; Phanerochaetaceae. The record is from RNAcentral.
UUCCCCUAGUAACUGCGAGUGAAGCGGGAAAAGCUCAAAUUUAAAAUCUGGCGGUCUUCGGCCGUCCGAGUUGUAAUCUGGAGAAGCGUUUUCCGCGCUGGACCGUGUACAAGUCUCUUGGAACAGAGCGUCAUAGAGGGUGAGAAUCCCGUCUUUGACACGGACUACCAGUGCUAUGUGAUGCGCUCUCGAUGAGUCGAGUUGUUUGGGAAUGCAGCUCAAAAUGGGUGGUAAAUUCCAUCUAAAGCUAAAUAUUGGCGAGAGACCGAUAGCGAACAAGUACCGUGAGGGAAAGAUGAAAAGCACUUUGGAAAGAGAGUUAAACAGUACGUGAAAUUGCUGAAAGGGAAACGAUUGAAGUCAGUCGCGUGUGCUAGAACUCAGCCUUGCUUUUGCUUGGUGCAUUUUCUAGUGUACGGGCCAGCAUCAGUUUUGGCCGCCGGAAAAAGGCCUUGGGAAUGUGGCACCUUCGGGUGUGUUAUAGCCCUUGGUUGUAUACGGUGGCUGGGACUGAGGAACAUAGCAUGCCUUUAUGGCGGAGCUUCGGCUACCUUCAUGCUUUGGAUGCUGGCGUAAUGGCUUUAAACGACCCGUCUUGAAACACGGACCAAGGAGUCUAACAUGCCUGCGAGUGUUUGGGUGGAAAACCCGAGCGCGUAAUGAAAGUGAAAGUUGGGACUUCUGUCGUGGAAGGCACCGACGCCCGGACCAGACCUUCUGUGACGGAUCCGCGGUAGAGCAUGUAUGUUGGGACCCGAAAGAUGGUGAACUAUGCCUGAAUAGGGUGAAGCCAGAGGAAACUCUGGUGGAGGCUCGUAGCGAUUCUGACGUGCAAAUCGAUCGUCAAAUUUGGGUAUAGGGGCGAAAGACUAAUCG